AUAACCUGUGCCUGAAGCUAGUGCCACCUCUUGGACGUUUCUGUGAUAUUAGCUGCUACAGAGCAGCAUCUGAAGAGCCACGGGGCCCCCACCUUCAUCCCUGAGAAUUUUAGGAGCCAGCCUGCCUUUCCAGGUGACACUGGACACUUUCAUCUGAGAACCCUGUCACAUGACAGUUGUUUCCUUUCUUCCUCCUCUCCUGGGAAUGCUGCUGCUUCGAUGACCCAAGAGCCUAAGAAGGGUAGCUGUUUCUCAAUACACUGAGAGAGAGUUCUUUCUCCGUCCUGACCAUCUUGGGACCCGAUGGCAAGACUGGAAGGAUUUAUAUCUCCUUUUGUACAGAAAACUGCCUCCCCAUGUUGGUUUGUGAAGUGAAAUGCAUAUAAAACAGAGGAUUCCAGACUCUCAGAAGUCAAUACAUAAAUAAAUAAAAAUAAAACUGAGAAGAUA
This 450-nucleotide long non-coding RNA is filed under the name Homo sapiens (human). RNAcentral describes it as "HSALNT0334690". The record is from RNAcentral. Lineage: Eukaryota; Metazoa; Chordata; Mammalia; Primates; Hominidae.